RNAcentral lists this ribosomal RNA (711 nucleotides) under uncultured Peptococcaceae bacterium. Its description in RNAcentral is "bacterial SSU rRNA". It matches the Rfam family "Bacterial small subunit ribosomal RNA", at positions 49 to 727 of the family's 1533-position model. Lineage: Bacteria; Bacillati; Bacillota; Clostridia; Eubacteriales; Peptococcaceae. The record is from RNAcentral.
UAACACAUGCAAGUCGAACGAAAAGAGGGAAAGAGCUUGCUCUUUCCGGAAUUGAGUGGCAAACGGGUGAGUAACACGUAAACAACCUGCCUUCAGGAUGGGGACAACAGACGGAAACGACUGCUAAUACCGAAUAAGUUCCAAGAGCCGCAUGGCCCAUGGAAGAAAAGGUGGCCUCUACCUGUAAGCUAUCGCCUGAAGAGGGGUUUGCGUCUGAUUAGCUGGUUGGAGGGGUAACGGCCCACCAAGGCGACGAUCAGUAGCCGGUCUGAGAGGAUGAACGGCCACACUGGAACUGAGACACGGUCCAGACUCCUACGGGAGGCAGCAGUGGGGAAUCUUCCGCAAUGGGCGAAAGCCUGACGGAGCGACGCCGCGUGAGUGAUGACGGCCUUCGGGUUGUAAAACUCUGUGAUCCGGGACGAAAAGGCAGAGUACGAAGAACAAACUGCAUUGACGGUACCGGAAAAGCAAGCCACGGCUAACUACGUGCCAGCAGCCGCGGUAAUACGUAGGUGGCAAGCGUUGUCCGGAAUUAUUGGGCGUAAAGCGCGCGCAGGCGGCUUCCCAAGUCCCUCUUAAAAGUGCGGGGCUUAACCCCGUGAUGGGAAGGAAACUGGGAAGCUGGAGUAUCGGAGAGGAAAGUGGAAUUCCUAGUGUAGCGGUGAAAUGCGUAGAGAUUAGGAAGAACACCGGUGGCGAAGGCGACUU